CUUAACACAUGCAAGUCGAACGGAAAGGCCCUGCUUUUGUGGGGUGCUCGAGUGGCGAACGGGUGAGUAUCACGUGAGUAACCUGCCCUUGACUUUGGGAUAACUUCAGGAAACUGGGGCUAAUACCGGAUAGGAGCUCCUGCUGCAUGGUGGGGGUUGGAAAGUUUCGGCGGUUGGGGAUGGACUCGCGGCUUAUCAGCUUGUUGGUGGGGUAGUGGCUUACCAAGGCUUUGACGGGUAGCCGGCCUGAGAGGGUGACCGGCCACAUUGGGACUGAGAUACGGCCCAGACUCCUACGGGAGGCAGCAGUGGGGAAUAUUGCACAAUGGGCGGAAGCCCGAUGCAGCAACGCCGCGUGCGGGAUGACGGCCUUCGGGUUGUAAACCGCUUUCGCCUGUGACGAAGCGUGAGUGACGGUAAUGGGUAAAGAAGCACCGGCUAACUACGUGCCAGCAGCCGCGAUGAUACGUAGGGUACGAGCGUUGUCCGGAUUUAUUGGGCGUAAAGGGCUCGUAGGUGGUUGAUCGCGUCGGAAGUGUAAUCUUGGGGCUUAACCCUGAGCGUGCUUUCGAUACGGGUUGACUUGAGGAAGGUAGGGGAGAAUGGAAUUCCUGGUGGAGCGGUGGAAUGCGCAGAUAUCAGGAGGAACACCAGUGGCGAAGGCGGUUCUCUGGGCCUUUCCUGACGCUGAGGAGCGAAAGCGUGGGGAGCGAACAGGCUUAGAUACCCUGGUAGUCCACGCUGUAAACGGUGGGUACUAGGUGUGGGGUCCAUUCCACGGGUUCCGUGCCGUAGCUAACGCUUUAAGUACCCCGCCUGGGGAGUACGGCCGCAAGGCUAAAACUCAAAGGAAUUGACGGGGCCCCGCACAAGCGGCGGAGCAUGCGGAUUAAUUCGAUGCAACGCGUAGAACCUUACCUGGGUUUGACAUGGAUCGGGAGUGCUCAGAGAUGGGUGUGCCUCUUUUGGGGUCGGUUCACAGGUGGUGCAUGGCUGUCGUCAGCUCGUGUCGUGAGAUGUUGGGUUAAGUCCCGCAACGAGCGCAACCCUUGUUCACUGUUGCCAGCACGUUAUGGUGGGGACUCAGUGGAGACCGCCGGGGUCAACUCGGAGGAAGGUGGGGAUGACGUCAAGUCAUCAUGCCCCUUAUGUCCAGGGCUUCACGCAUGCUACAAUGGCUGGUACAGAGAGUGGCGAGCCUGUGAGGGUGAGCGAAUCUCGGAAAGCCGGUCUCAGUUCGGAUUGGGGUCUGCAACUCGACCUCAUGAAGUCGGAGUCGCUAGUAAUCGCAGAUCAGCAACGCUGCGGUGAAUACGUUCCCGGGGCUUGUACACACCGCCCGUCAAGUCAUGAAAGUUGGUAACACCCGAAGCCGGUGGCCUAACCGUUGUGGGGGAGCCGUCGAAGGUGGGACUGGUGAUUAGGACUAA
This 1430-nucleotide ribosomal RNA is filed under the name uncultured organism. RNAcentral's name for it is "16S ribosomal RNA". It matches the Rfam family "Bacterial small subunit ribosomal RNA". The record is from RNAcentral.